UACGGGGGGGGCAAGCGUUGUUCGGAAUUACUGGGCGUAAAGGGCUCGUAGGUGGCCAACUAAGUCAGACGUGAAAUCCCUCGGCUUAACCGGGGAACUGCGUCUGAUACUGGAUGGCUUGAGUUUGGGAGAGGGACGCGGAAUUCCAGGUGUAGCGGUGAAAUGCGUAGAUAUCAGGAGGAACACCAGUGGCGAAGGCGGUGCUCUGGGCCGGAACUGACGCUGAGGAGCGAAAGCGUGGGGAGCGAACAGG
RNAcentral lists this ribosomal RNA (253 nucleotides) under uncultured bacterium. RNAcentral describes it as "partial 16S ribosomal RNA". It matches the Rfam family "Bacterial small subunit ribosomal RNA", at positions 524 to 776 of the family's 1533-position model. The record is from RNAcentral.